AUUGAACGCUGGCGGCAGGCCUAACACAUGCAAGUCGAGCGGAAGAAGGGAGCUUGCUCCUGGAUUCAGCGGCGGACGGGUGAGUAAUGCCUAGGAAUCUGCCUGGUAGUGGGGGAUAACGUCCGGAAACGGGCGCUAAUACCGCAUACGUCCUGAGGGAGAAAGUGGGGGAGCUUCGGACCUCACGCUAUCAGGUGAACCUAGGUCGGAUUAGCUAGUUGGUGGGGUAAAGGCCUUCCUAGGCGACGAUCCGUAACUGGUCUGAGAGGAUGGUCAGUCACACGGGAACUGAGACACGGUCCAGGCUCCUACGGGAGGCAGCAGUGGGGAAUAUUGGACAAUGGGCGAGAGCCUGAUACAGCCAUGCCGCGUGUGUGAAGAAGGUCUUCGGAUUGUAAAGCACUUUAAGUUGGGAGGAAGGGCAGUAAGUUAAUACCUUGCUGUUUUGACGGUACCAACAGAAGAAGCACCGGCUAACUUCGUG
RNAcentral lists this ribosomal RNA (484 nucleotides) under uncultured bacterium. RNAcentral's name for it is "partial 16S ribosomal RNA". It matches the Rfam family "Bacterial small subunit ribosomal RNA", at positions 30 to 507 of the family's 1533-position model. The record is from RNAcentral.